ACCUACGGGAGGCAGCAGUAGGGAAUCUUCCACAAUGGACGAAAGUCUGAUGGAGCAACGCCGCGUGAGUGAAGAAGGGUUUCGGCUCGUAAAGCUCUGUUGGUAGUGAAGAAAGAUAGAGGUAGUAACUGGCCUUUAUUUGACGGUAAUUACUUAGAAAGUCACGGCUAACUACGUGCCAGCAGCCGCGGUAAUACGUAGGUGGCAAGCGUUGUCCGGAUUUAUUGGGCGUAAAGCGAGGGCAGGGGGGUCAAUAAGUC
This 260-nucleotide ribosomal RNA is filed under the name uncultured bacterium. RNAcentral's name for it is "partial 16S ribosomal RNA". It matches the Rfam family "Bacterial small subunit ribosomal RNA", at positions 337 to 589 of the family's 1533-position model. The record is from RNAcentral.